This 445-nucleotide ribosomal RNA is filed under the name uncultured marine bacterium. RNAcentral describes it as "bacterial SSU rRNA". It matches the Rfam family "Bacterial small subunit ribosomal RNA", at positions 360 to 804 of the family's 1533-position model. The record is from RNAcentral.
AAUCUUGCGCAAUGGAGGAAACUCUGACGCAGCCACGCCGCGUGAAGGAAGACACCCCUAUGGGGCGUAAACUUCUUUUAUAUGGGAAGAACUCCCUGCUCGGCAGGGUCUGACGGUACCAUAUGAAUAAGCACCGGCUAACUCCGUGCCAGCAGCCGCGGUAAUACGGAGGGUGCAAGCGUUGUCCGGAAUCACUGGGUGUAAAGGGUGUGUAGGCGGGGCAGUAAGUCAGAGGUGAAAGCCCACGGCUCAACCGUGGAAUUGCCUUUGAUACUGCUGUUCUUGAGUCCUGGAGAGGUCGCCGGAAUCCGUGGUGUAGCGGUGAAAUGCGUAGAUAUCACGAGGAACACCGGAGGUGUAGACGGGUGACUGGACAGGUACUGACGCUGAGGCACGAAAGCGUGGGGAGCAAACAGGAUUAGAUACCCUGGUAGUCCACGCCGUA